Molecule: ribosomal RNA, 253 nt
Filed under: uncultured bacterium
Lineage: Bacteria
Description: partial 16S ribosomal RNA
Rfam family: Bacterial small subunit ribosomal RNA
Source: RNAcentral
UACAGAGGGUGCAAGCGUUAAUCGGAAUUACUGGGCGUAAAGAGUGUGUAGGCGGUGUUCCAAGUCUGGUGUGAAAUCUCCCGGCUCAACUGGGAGGGUGCGCCGGAAACUGGAAUGCUAGAGGGUGGGAGAGGUAAGCGGAAUUCCUGGUGUAGCGGUGAAAUGCGUAGAUAUCAGGAGGAACACCUGUGGUGUAGACAGCUUACUGGACCACUUCUGACGCUGAGACACGAAAGCGUGGGUAGCAAACAGG